AUUGAACGCUGGCGGAAUGCUUACACAUGCAAGUCGAACGGCAGCACGGGAGCAAGUCCUGGUGGCGAGUGGCGAACGGGUGAGUAAUAUAUCGGAACGUGCCCAGUCGUGGGGGAGUAACGUAGCGAAAGCUACGCUAAUACCGCAUACGAUCUACGGAUGAAAGCGGGGGAUCGCAAGACCUCGCGCGAUUGGAGCGGCCGAUAUCAGAUUAGCUAGUUGGUGAGGUAAAGGCUCACCAAGGCGACGAUCUGUAGCGGGUCUGAGAGGAUGAUCCGCCACACUGGAACUGAGACACGGUCCAGACUCCUACGGGAGGCAGCAGUGGGGAAUUUUGGACAAUGGGGGCAACCCUGAUCCAGCCAUGCCGCGUGAGUGAAGAAGGCCUUCGGGUUGUAAAGCUCUUUCGGCCGGGAAGAAAUCGCAUGGGCUAAUACCCUGUGCGGAUGACGGUACCGGCAUAAGAAGCACCGGCUAACUACGUG
This 485-nucleotide ribosomal RNA is filed under the name uncultured bacterium. RNAcentral's name for it is "bacterial SSU rRNA". It matches the Rfam family "Bacterial small subunit ribosomal RNA", at positions 29 to 507 of the family's 1533-position model. The record is from RNAcentral.